UUGGGAAGCCCUGGAAAGUGGUGUGGUCGUGAACUGGAGGAGGAAGAACAAGGAGGAGGGGGUCACAGGACCAAGGGGAGAUGCCACGAGAGUCUGCACAAGGUGAUGUCGAAGGAAAAGGAGAGGAGGGAAGAUGGUGUUGAGAGCAUGCGCUGUGUAGCUUCUCUCUCUAAAUGCUCCACUGAAUACAGAGAUACACACAAGUCCUCAGGAGCUGGAAAUACAUGGGGAGUGUGGGGGAUAAGGCAAACAGGAUAUUGGCUUUUGGGAGAGGACCCUGAUGACCUAGGGAAGAGAAACAGUGAGAGGUCUCAGAAGGUUCCAGGAGAACCUAGGUUCUGUGCUCCCUGGAGAAGGCUGGGAAACACCGUUGGAAUUUCAGGAAGACGGGAUGUUGACCUAGUGUGGAAAUUCUCAGGUGGGUCUGAGUCCCCUCUUCAAACAUCCCAUUAUGAUCCAAGACCUCAAAUUUCCACUGAAAAGUGGGUGCCUCCAAGCAGCCUUCCCUCUCCUGGGAACCAGUGGUUCUAAUUCCACCAGAGGUGCCCACAGGUGGCUGCAUGUUGAGGUCCCCUGGGGACCUUUAAACAUGCAUGUGCCGGGGUCCAGUCUCAUAGACCCUGAUUUGUG
Molecule: non-coding RNA, 630 nt
Organism: Equus caballus (horse)
Lineage: Eukaryota; Metazoa; Chordata; Mammalia; Perissodactyla; Equidae
Source: RefSeq, a predicted model, not a curated record